This 161-nucleotide non-coding RNA is filed under the name bovine gut metagenome. RNAcentral's name for it is "Lysine riboswitch". It matches the Rfam family "Lysine riboswitch aptamer". Rfam says of the family: Riboswitches are metabolite binding domains within certain messenger RNAs that serve as precision sensors for their corresponding targets. Allosteric rearrangement of mRNA structure is mediated by ligand binding, and this results in modulation of gene expression. The record is from RNAcentral.
UGAUAGAGGUGCGGUUUCAAAGAGUAGCUGGCUGUUUUCAGGAAACGGCAGGCAGCGGAAGGGGAGACCGCCGAGGAGCCGAGGGCCCGCCUGGGGCGCGAGGCAUCCGGGCUGCAGGAGAACAUCCUGCAGACUGUCGCAGAAAUGCGGAGAGCUAUCGU